This 406-nucleotide ribosomal RNA is filed under the name uncultured bacterium. RNAcentral's name for it is "partial 16S ribosomal RNA". It matches the Rfam family "Bacterial small subunit ribosomal RNA", at positions 30 to 526 of the family's 1533-position model. The record is from RNAcentral.
AUUGAACGCUGGCGGCAGGCCUAACACAUGCAAGUCGAACGAGUGGCGGACGGGUGAGUAAUGUCUGGGAAACUGCCUGAUGGAGGGGGAUAACUACUGGAAACGGUAGCUAAUACCGCAUACCAUCGGAUGUGCCCAGAUGGGAUUAGCUAGUAGGUGGGGUAAAGGAUCACCAAGGCGACGAUCCCUAGCUGGUCUGAGAGUAUGACCAGCCACACUGGAACUGAGAAACGGUCCAGAGUCCUACGGUAGGCAGCAGUGGGGAAGAUUGGACAAUGGGCGCAAGCCUGAUGCAGCCAUGCAGCGGGUAUGAAGAAGGCCUUCGGGUUGUAAAGUACUUUCAGCGGGGAGGCGUUACCCGCAGAAGAAGCACCGGCUAACUCCGUGCCAGCAGCCGCGGUAAUAC